Molecule: long non-coding RNA, 476 nt
Filed under: Cricetulus griseus (Chinese hamster)
Lineage: Eukaryota; Metazoa; Chordata; Mammalia; Rodentia; Cricetidae
Description: lncRNA (ENSCGRG00015013886.2)
Source: RNAcentral
CCCAAGGAUCCCUGCCUUCCUGUUCAUCCCUGGAUUGUUAACUUUGUCACCAAGAUCAUUAGCAUCAGUCUCUGGGAUGGAGGACCAGGUGGGAGCCUUUCUAAGGUCCAGGCCUCACUGAAUGGGAGGACCCAGGGCAGGCAGAUCCUGCUUCCAACACGGGAUUCCGAUCAAUAAGUUGGGGCCCCAAGCUUCUUCAGGAAAACAGUUUUUAUUUGUGCUAGCAGAUUCAUCCAAACUUCUGUUUCAAAGAACCAAGCCCCAAAGGCUCACUAGACGGAGCCUUUUGGAUUUUGCGUCUUUGUCUCCCAUACAUGGAAGGGAAACUAAUCACCCCACAUCAUCCCCAAGACUUGUGAACGACUGCUCUUUCUGUACUGAGUACUCACAGAUGUGGAAACAGACCCACAGGGAACUCACGGGGCUAUCGGCAAUAGAGGCACCAUCAGUCCCAGCACCAAGUCCCAUCAGGGAAG